CGUGUAGGCGGUUUUAUAAGUUAGAUGCUAAAUCCCUCGGCUUAACCAAGGUAUCGCAUUUAAUACUGUAGAACUAGAGUACAGCAGAGGAGAAUGGAAUUUCCAGUGUAGCGGUGAAAUGCGUAGAUAUUGGAAGGAACACCUGUGGCGAAGGCGAUUCUCUGGGCUGAUACUGACGCUGAGGCGCGAAAGCCAGGGUAGCAAACG
Molecule: ribosomal RNA, 207 nt
Filed under: uncultured bacterium
Lineage: Bacteria
Description: partial 16S ribosomal RNA
Rfam family: Bacterial small subunit ribosomal RNA
Source: RNAcentral